RNAcentral lists this ribosomal RNA (468 nucleotides) under uncultured bacterium. RNAcentral's name for it is "partial 16S ribosomal RNA". It matches the Rfam family "Bacterial small subunit ribosomal RNA", at positions 28 to 507 of the family's 1533-position model. The record is from RNAcentral.
GACGAACGCUGGCGGCGUGCUUAACACAUGCAAGUCGAACGGAAAGGCCCUGCUUUUGUGGGGUGCUCGAGUGGCGAACGGGUGAGUAACACGUGAGUAACCUGCCCUUGACUUUGGGAUAACUUCAGGAAACUGGGGCUAAUACCGGAUAGGAGCUCCUGCUGCAUGGUGGGGGUUGGAAAGUUUCGGCGGUUGGGGAUGGACUCGCGGCUUAUCAGCUUGUUGGUGGGGUAGUGGCUUACCAAGGCUUUGACGGGUAGCCGGCCUGAGAGGGUGACCGGCCACAUUGGGACUGAGAUACUGCCCAGACUCCUACGGGAGGCAGCAGUGGGGAAUAUUGCACAAUGGGCGGAAGCCUGAUGCAGCAACGCCGCGUGCGGGAUGACUGCCUUCGGGUUGUAAACCGCUUUCGCCUGUGACGAAGCGUGAGUGACGGUAAUGGGUAAAGAAGCACGGGCUAACUACGUG